RNAcentral lists this ribosomal RNA (479 nucleotides) under uncultured bacterium. RNAcentral's name for it is "partial 16S ribosomal RNA". It matches the Rfam family "Bacterial small subunit ribosomal RNA", at positions 28 to 507 of the family's 1533-position model. The record is from RNAcentral.
GAUGAACGCUAGCGGGAGGCCUAACACAUGCAAGCCGAGCGGUAGAGUCUCUUCGGAGACUUGAGAGCGGCGCACGGGUGCGGAACACGUGUGCAACCUGCCUUUAUCUGGGGGAUAGCCUUUCGAAAGGAAGAUUAAUACCCCAUAAUAUACUGGAUGGCAUCAUCUGGUAUUGAAAACUCCGGCGGAUAGAGAUGGGCACGCGCAAGAUUAGAUAGUUGGUGAGGUAACGGCUCACCAAGUCAGCGAUCUUUAGGGGGCCUGAGAGGGUGAUCCCCCACACUGGUACUGAGACACGGACCAGACUCCUACGGGAGGCAGCAGUGAGGAAUAUUGGACAAUGGGUGAGAGCCUGAUCCAGCCAUCCCGCGUGAAGGACGACGGCCCUAUGGGUUGUAAACUUCUUUUGUAUAGGGAUAAACCUAGAUACGUGUAUCUAGCUGAAGGUACUAUACGAAUAAGCACCGGCUAACUCCGUG